Molecule: ribosomal RNA, 604 nt
Filed under: Vishniacozyma carnescens
Lineage: Eukaryota; Fungi; Basidiomycota; Tremellomycetes; Tremellales; Bulleribasidiaceae
Description: partial large subunit ribosomal RNA
Rfam family: Eukaryotic large subunit ribosomal RNA
Source: RNAcentral
GCAUAUCAAUAAGCGGAGGAAAAGAAACUAACUAGGAUUCCCUUAGUAACGGCGAGUGAACCGGGAUGAGCUCAAAUUUGAAAUCUGGCGUCUUUCAGGCGUCCGAGUUGUAAUCUAUAGAGGCGUUUUCCGCGCCGGACCGCGUCCAAGUCUCUUGGAAUAGAGUAUCAAAGAGGGUGACAAUCCCGUACUUGACGCGACAACCGGUGCUCUGUGAUACGUUCUCAAUGAGUCGAGUUGUUUGGGAAUGCAGCUCUAAAUGGGUGGUAAAUUCCAUCUAAGGCUAAAUAUUGGCGAGAGACCGAUAGCGAACAAGUACCGUGAGGGAAAGAUGAAAAGCACUUUGGAAAGAGAGUUAAACAGCACGUGAAAUUGUUAAAAGGGAAACGAUUGAAGUCAGUCGUGUGGGAAGUAUUCAGCCGUCUCUGGCGGUGUAUUUGCUUCUCACGGGUCAACAUCAGUUUGAUCCGGUAGAAAAAGGCGGGAAGAAGGUGGCACCCUCGGGUGUGUUAUAGCUUCCUGUCAUAUGUGCCGGACCAGACUGAGGAACGCAGCUUGCAGCAAUGCCGGGGUUCGCCCACGUACAAGCUUAGGAUGUUGACAU